Molecule: ribosomal RNA, 353 nt
Filed under: uncultured bacterium
Lineage: Bacteria
Description: partial 16S ribosomal RNA
Rfam family: Bacterial small subunit ribosomal RNA
Source: RNAcentral
CCUACGGGAGGCAGCAGUGAGGAAUAUUGGUCAAUGGGCUUACGCCUGAACCAGCCAAGUCGCGUGAGGGAAGACUGCCCUCUGGGUUGUAAACCUCUUUUGUCAGGGAGCAAUUGGCGCUACGUGUAGCGUUAUCGAGAGUACCUGAAGUAAACGCAUCGGCUAACUCCGUGCCAGCAGCCGCGGUACUACGGAGGAUGCGAGCGUUAUCCGGAUUUAUUGGGAUUAAAGGGUGCGUAGGCGGAAUACCAAGUCAGCGGUAAAAUCGCGGGGCUCAACCUCGCUCCGCCGUUGAAACUGGCGUACUUGAGUGGGCGAGAAGGAUGGGGAAGGCGUGGUGGAGCGGUGAAAUG